RNAcentral lists this ribosomal RNA (254 nucleotides) under uncultured bacterium. RNAcentral's name for it is "partial 16S ribosomal RNA". It matches the Rfam family "Bacterial small subunit ribosomal RNA", at positions 524 to 776 of the family's 1533-position model. The record is from RNAcentral.
UACGUAGGGGGCUAGCGUUGUCCGGAAUCAUUGGGCGUAAAGCGCGUGUAGGCGGUUCGGUAAGUCCGCUGUGAAAGUCGGGGGGCUCAACCCUCGGAUGCCGGUGGAUACUAUCGGGCUUGAGUACGGAAGAGGCGAGUGGAAUUCCUGGUGUAGCGGUGAAAUGCGCAGAUAUCAGGAGGAACACCAAUUGCGAAGGCAGCUCGCUGGGACGUUACUGACGCUGAGACGCGAAAGCGUGGGGAGCAAACAGG